RNAcentral lists this ribosomal RNA (401 nucleotides) under uncultured bacterium. Its description in RNAcentral is "bacterial SSU rRNA". It matches the Rfam family "Bacterial small subunit ribosomal RNA", at positions 102 to 518 of the family's 1533-position model. The record is from RNAcentral.
ACGGGUGAGUAACGCGUGAGCAACCUGUCUCAGUACAGGGGGAUAACGCACCGAAAGGUGUGCCUAAUACCGCAUAAGACCACAGCCUCGCAUGGGGGAGGGUCAAGGAGCGAUCCGGUAUGAGGUGGGCUCGCGUCUGAUUUAGAUAGUUGGUGAGUAACGGCCCACCAAGUCAACGAUCAGUAGCCGACCUGAGAGGGUGAUCGGCCACAUUGGGACUGAGAGACGGUCCAAACUCCUACGGGAGGCAGCAGUGGGGAAUAUUGGGCAAUGGGCCGCAAGCCUGACCCAGCAACGCCGCGUGAGGGAAGAAGGCCUUUGGGUCGUAAAGCUCUGUCGGGAAGGAAGAUAAUGACGGUACUUCCCGAGGAAGCCCCGGCUAACUACGUGCCAGCCGCUGC